CCUACGGGCGGCAGCAGUGGGGAAUAUUGCACAAUGGGGGGAACCCUGAUGCAGCAACGCCGCGUGAAGGAAGACGGUUUUCGGAUUGUAAACUUCUAUCAAUAGGGAAGAAAGAAAUGACGAUACCUAAAUAAGAAGCCCCGGCUAACUACGUGCAAGCAGCCGCGGUAAUACGAAAGGGGCAAGGGUUAUCCGGAUUGAUUGGGUCUAAAGGGUGCGUAGGAGGUCCGUUAAGUCAGCGGGAAAAGUGCGGGGCUCAACCCCGUCGAGCCGAUGAAACUGGCAGACUUGAGUAGGCGAGAAGUACGCGGAAUUCGCGGUGUAGCGGUGAAAUGCAUAGAUAUCGCGCAGAACUCCGAUUGCGAAGGCAGCGUACCGGCGCCAGACUGACGCUGAGGCACGAAAGCGUGGGGAUCGAACAGGAUUAGAUACCCCGGUAGUC
This 442-nucleotide ribosomal RNA is filed under the name uncultured bacterium. RNAcentral's name for it is "partial 16S ribosomal RNA". It matches the Rfam family "Bacterial small subunit ribosomal RNA", at positions 338 to 795 of the family's 1533-position model. The record is from RNAcentral.